Molecule: ribosomal RNA, 909 nt
Filed under: marine bacterium HC-8
Lineage: Bacteria
Description: bacterial SSU rRNA
Rfam family: Bacterial small subunit ribosomal RNA
Source: RNAcentral
GAGUCUGACGGAGCACGCCGCGUGAGUGAUGAAGGUUUUCGGAUCGUAAAGCUCUGUUGUUAGGGAAGAACAAGUGCAAGAGUAACUGCUUGCACCUUGACGGUACCUAACCAGAAAGCCACGGCUAACUACGUGCCAGCAGCCGCGGUAAUACGUAGGUGGCAAGCGUUGUCCGGAAUUAUUGGGCGUAAAGGGCUCGCAGGCGGUUUCUUAAGUCUGAUGUGAAAGCCCCCGGCUCAACCGGGGAGGGUCAUUGGAAACUGGGAAACUUGAGUGCAGAAGAGGAGAGUGGAAUUCCACGUGUAGCGGUGAAAUGCGUAGAGAUGUGGAGGAACACCAGUGGCGAAGGCGACUCUCUGGUCUGUAACUGACGCUGAGGAGCGAAAGCGUGGGGAGCGAACAGGAUUAGAUACCCUGGUAGUCCACGCCGUAAACGAUGAGUGCUAAGUGUUAGGGGGUUUCCGCCCCUUAGUGCUGCAGCUAACGCAUUAAGCACUCCGCCUGGGGAGUACGGUCGCAAGACUGAAACUCAAAGGAAUUGACGGGGGCCCGCACAAGCGGUGGAGCAUGUGGUUUAAUUCGAAGCAACGCGAAGAACCUUACCAGGUCUUGACAUCCUCUGACAACCCUAGAGAUAGGGCUUUCCCUUCGGGGACAGAGUGACAGGUGGUGCAUGGUUGUCGUCAGCUCGUGUCGUGAGAUGUUGGGUUAAGUCCCGCAACGAGCGCAACCCUUGAUCUUAGUUGCCAGCAUUCAGUUGGGCACUCUAAGGUGACUGCCGGUGACAAACCGGAGGAAGGUGGGGAUGACGUCAAAUCAUCAUGCCCCUUAUGACCUGGGCUACACACGUGCUACAAUGGACAGAACAAAGGGCUGCGAGACCGCAAGGUUUAGCCAAUCCCACAAAUC